AGCCGCUUGUAAGUGCUGAACUUGCAAACCCCAAAAAGGAGAAGGAAGGAAGAAGGAAGUUCAAGUGAACUUUUCAGGUGAAAAGGACAGGACUGUCACACUCUGGCACAGUCUUCAGGACACGGACAGGCCUUCCCACCAGGCAUAUCUCAAAGGACAAAAUGCUCAAGAAAGUGUAUCAUAAAGAAAUGGACACAUACACAAAAGUUGCUAGUUAAAUUCAUUCAUUCAUUCCAUACAUGUAGUGAGUUCCUAUGGCAAUAGGCCAGGCAUUGUGCCGUUGCCAGCGAUGAAACAUCGAUGAAAGAAACACGGCCCUGCCCUCAGGGGACUUACAGUCUGCUGGAUGUGCAUAAUGACCCAUAUGCUGCAUCUGCAUCAUAGCUGAAGAGAAUGACGCCUCCUGGCGAGAACACAUGUUUCAGGGUGAUGCCGCGACACAAGUCAUGCCUGGUCUUUCUCUAAUGAUGCCUUCCUCACGGACUUGUUGAGUCGUUUCUUUAUUCAACACACAUUACUGGAUGUCAGCUCUGUGCAGGAACCAGGGACAUAAACACGAAAAGUACAAUCUCUGGCCUUCAGGUACUCAUUGCAGGGGAGACAGACAUAUAAUUCAUUGAGAAAUUUCCUGCUCUAUCCCCAUGGUCUGUUUGGCACAUAACAGGUAUGCCUGAGAAAUAUUGGUUAAAUGGAUAAAUGUCCAUAGAAACACCAUAACGCUGUGUGGUAAGGCUGUGACAGGCAUGGGCAGCCUUUCAUUUAUCCAGUCAUUCAUUCUAAAGUAUUCGUUGAGCAUCUACUGUGGGCCAGCCUCUGUGCUAGACCACAGCGAUACAGCAGAGAACAAAGACUCCAUGGAAUCCUUGCCCUGAUGCCAUUUGGAGGAAAAUAGAUGAUAAACAAAUCAGUAAAUCAAUGCGUAACUUUAUACAAGGUAGUAUUAAGUGCUACGAAGAAAAAUAGAGCAGAUUAAGGACUCAGAGAAGAGCGGGGCUGGGGGCUGUUGGACCAGUCAGGAUACACUGAGCUUGCACUGCGGAAACAAACACUGCCGACGUCUCAGGGCCUCAGCACACUGGAAGUUUCUAUUUUGCUCUCAUGAGGUCUGUUGUGGGUGUGGACUAGGAGGCUUGAAUGCUUGGUUCCUGCUCAGUCUUCAGGACUCAGCUUAGAACUGAUUUCCUCCAAUCUUCCCUGGGGUCCCACCAUCCGAGUUAGAAGCCUCUGCCGUGUGCUUCCCCACAGUCCUGCUUAGGGUCCACCAGUUUCCAAUGCUGCCAGCUCCACAUGAGGCUUCCGGGUCCACCACAGCAGGUGAGCAGAAGACCUGAGAGGCAAGCACCCACAAUCUAGAGGGACACGUGGCACUUCUGCUCCCAGUUCAUCGGCCAGAACUAGUCGGCAUCUGCACCUAAAUUCCAGAACUCAGGGAAACGUGAUCCUUCGAGGUGUAAUUGAAGCCAAUAUUUGUGAACAUUAGUAAUGGACUAAUGUCUAAGACAGAUUUAUUUUUUGAAUGCAUGGUCAUGAAGGCCUCUCCGAGGAGGUGAUUUCUGAGUAAAGUCUGA
Molecule: long non-coding RNA, 1568 nt
Filed under: Equus caballus (horse)
Lineage: Eukaryota; Metazoa; Chordata; Mammalia; Perissodactyla; Equidae
Description: lncRNA (ENSECAG00000049430.1)
Source: RNAcentral